AAACGUCUUCAGGGCGGGGUGCGAUUCCCCACCGGCGGUAGGUGCGUUCGCGCACGAGCCCGCGAGCGCUUGGGUGGUCGGAACCGGCACGCAGGUGCGGAGUCGGCUGCGCAAGGUCAGCAGAUCCGGUCCGACGCCGGAGCCGACGGUAUAGUCCGGAUGAAAGAAGACGGCU
This 175-nucleotide non-coding RNA is filed under the name Xanthomonas translucens. RNAcentral's name for it is "FMN sequence". It matches the Rfam family "FMN riboswitch aptamer (RFN element)". From Rfam's summary of the family: The RFN element is a highly conserved domain that is found frequently in the 5'-untranslated regions of prokaryotic mRNAs that encode for flavin mononucleotide (FMN) biosynthesis and transport proteins. This element is a metabolite-dependent riboswitch that directly binds FMN in the absence of proteins. In Bacillus subtilis, the riboswitch most likely controls gene expression by causing premature transcription termination within the 5' untranslated region of the ribDEAHT operon and precluding access to the ribosome-binding site of ypaA mRNA. The record is from RNAcentral. Lineage: Bacteria; Pseudomonadati; Pseudomonadota; Gammaproteobacteria; Lysobacterales; Lysobacteraceae.